This 253-nucleotide ribosomal RNA is filed under the name uncultured bacterium. RNAcentral describes it as "partial 16S ribosomal RNA". It matches the Rfam family "Bacterial small subunit ribosomal RNA", at positions 524 to 776 of the family's 1533-position model. The record is from RNAcentral.
UAUGGAGGGUGCGAGCGUUAUCCGGAUUUACUGGGUUUAAAGGGUGUGUAGGCGGAUCAUUAAGUCAGUGGUGAAAUCUCGGGGCUCAACCCCGAAACUGCCAUUGAUACUAUUGAUCUUGAAUACUGUGGAGGUGAGCGGAAUGUGUCAUGUAGCGGUGAAAUGCAUAGAGAUGACACAGAACACCGAUUGCGAAGGCAGCUCACUACGCAGUGAUUGACGCUGAGGCACGAAAGCGUGGGGAUCAAACAGG